UACGUAGGGGGCAAGCGUUGUCCGGAUUUAUUGGGCGUAAAGAGCGUGUAGGCGGCUGGGUAGGUCCGUUGUGAAAACUCGAGGCUCAACCUCGAGACGCCGAUGGAAACCCUCCAGCUAGAGUCCGGAAGAGGAGAGUGGAAUUCCUGGUGUAGCGGUGAAAUGCGCAGAUAUCAGGAGGAACACCGGUGGCGAAGGCGCCACUCUGGGCCGGUACUGACGCUGAGGAGCGAAAGCGUGGGUAGCAAACAGG
Molecule: ribosomal RNA, 253 nt
Filed under: uncultured bacterium
Lineage: Bacteria
Description: partial 16S ribosomal RNA
Rfam family: Bacterial small subunit ribosomal RNA
Source: RNAcentral